GAUGAAGAACGUAGCGAAAUGCGAUAAGUAAUGUGAAUUGCAGAAUUCAGUGAAUCAUCGAAUCUUUGAACGCACCUUGCGCCCUUUGGACAUUCCGAAGGGCAUGCCUGUUUGAGUAUCAUGAACACCUCAACUCUCACGGCUUGUCCGUGAUGAGCUUGGACUUUGGGGGUCUUGCCGGCCUGUGGUCGGCUCCUCUCAAAUGGAUCAGCUUGCCAGUGUUUGGUGGCAUCACAGGUGUGAUAACUAUCUGCGCUUGUGGUUUUCCAUCAGAUAACCUUCAGUGAUAUGGAGGUUCGCUGGAGCUCACAAAUGUCUCUCCUUAGUGAGGACAGCUCUUUGAACGUUUGAUCUCAAAUCAGGUAGGACUACCCGCUGAACUUAAGCAUAUCAAUAAACGGAGGA
Molecule: unclassified non-coding RNA, 405 nt
Filed under: soil metagenome
Description: partial contains 5.8S ribosomal RNA, internal transcribed spacer 2, and large subunit ribosomal RNA
Rfam family: 5.8S ribosomal RNA (bases 1-121)
Source: RNAcentral